This 258-nucleotide ribosomal RNA is filed under the name uncultured bacterium. Its description in RNAcentral is "partial 16S ribosomal RNA". It matches the Rfam family "Bacterial small subunit ribosomal RNA", at positions 524 to 777 of the family's 1533-position model. The record is from RNAcentral.
UACGGGGGGAGCAAGCGUUGUUCGGAUUUACUGGGCGUAAAGGGCGCGUAGGCGGCGUGACAAGUCACUUGUGAAAUCUCCGGGCUUAACUCGGAACGGUCAAGUGAUACUGUCGUGCUAGAGUACAGAAGGGGCAACUGGAAUUCUCGGUGUAGCGGUGAAAUGCGUAGAUAUCGAGAGGAACACCUGCGGCGAAGGCGGGUUGCUGGGCUGAUACUGACGCUGAGGCGCGAAAAGCCAGGGGGAGGCGAAACGGGG